AGUCGAAGAUGAGAUGCGAAGCUCUUACCCUCACCUAUUCUCUGGUAAGUCUAUUUUCGCGGACGAAAAUUUUAUUUAUUGGGGAGAAUGUAAAGCCCUUAAAAUUUUAAGGCUAUUGGGCCUCAGGGAAAGCAGCCAGGCCCAUCAGAGUUGGCUCUUGGCCUUGAGAGGGGUCUUUCCCUUAGUCANCAUUUUCAUUCUUCAGCAUUUCAGUCUCUCUCUANAAACUCCAUAACCAAACCCUAACUNUUCUCCAUCUUCUCUCUUCUUUUUCAGAAAUUUAAACCGUANAAAACUCCAAUUGGUGCCUUCAACUNGUUUCUGGUGUCGAGGGCUUCAGUUUGAGCCUACCAUAUCUCCAUUUCACUUGGUAAGUAAGUUUUCCCCAAUUUCCUCCAUUGUUCUUGCCCUAAGUAUGUACUAUUUCUNAUUUUUAUGAGUCCUGUAUCAUUUGGUCUUCCAUUCUUCACUGUUUCAACUCAAAAAGCUAAUCAAAAACUCCAUCACCUAAUCGGUGAUUUAUAGGUCCGGUUUUGUUCAGCACAGUGUAAGGAUUUCCUUAGGAGCGUUCUCUGAUAUUUUAAAAANNNNN
This 592-nucleotide long non-coding RNA is filed under the name Vigna radiata. RNAcentral's name for it is "long non-coding RNA (VRAD_LNC009056)". Lineage: Eukaryota; Viridiplantae; Streptophyta; Magnoliopsida; Fabales; Fabaceae. The record is from RNAcentral.